AUGGUGCAAGGUUGGAAGGAAAAGAUCUUACUAGGGGGAAAGGAGAUGCUAAUUAAAACUAUAAUUCAGUCUUUACCCGUGUUUGCUAUGUCAGUGUUCAAGAUUCCCAAGAAAAUCUGUAGGGAAAUCACUAAUGCUAUAUAAGGAUUUUGGUGGGGUGAUACUGAGGAGAAGAACAAGAUGCAUUGGAGGGCAUCGUGGAAGAUGUGUAUCCCCAAGAAUGAUGGGGGUAUGGAGUUCAGAGAUUUACAUGCUUUUAAUCUUGCAAUGCUCGCAAAGCAGGUUUGA
This 288-nucleotide ribosomal RNA is filed under the name Triticum aestivum (bread wheat). RNAcentral's name for it is "partial small subunit ribosomal RNA". Lineage: Eukaryota; Viridiplantae; Streptophyta; Magnoliopsida; Poales; Poaceae. The record is from RNAcentral.